CCUACGGGAGGCAGCAGUGAGGAAUAUUGGUCAAUGGGCGCGAGCCUGAACCAGCCAAGUCGCGUGAGGGAAGACGGUCCUAUGGAUUGUAAACCUCUUUUGUCGGGGAGCAAAAGACGCCACGCGUGGCGUUCCGAGAGUACCCGAAGAAAAAGCAUCGGCUAACUCCGUGCCAGCAGCCGCGGUAAUACGGAGGAUGCGAGCGUUAUCCGGAUUUAUUGGGUUUAAAGGGUGCGCAGGCGGAAGAUCAAGUCAGCGGUAAAAGUGAGAGGCUCAACCUCUUCGAGCCGUUGAAACUGGUUUUCUUGAGUGAGUGAGAAGUAUGCGGAAGGCGUGGUGUAGCGGUGAAAUGCAUAGAUAUCACGCAGAACUCCGAUUGCGAAGGCAGCAUACCGGCGCUCAACUGACGCUCAUGCACGAAAGUGUGGGUAUCGAACAGGAUUAGAUACCCCUGUAGUC
This 459-nucleotide ribosomal RNA is filed under the name uncultured bacterium. RNAcentral describes it as "partial 16S ribosomal RNA". It matches the Rfam family "Bacterial small subunit ribosomal RNA", at positions 338 to 795 of the family's 1533-position model. The record is from RNAcentral.